Molecule: long non-coding RNA, 210 nt
Filed under: Gossypium raimondii (Peruvian cotton)
Lineage: Eukaryota; Viridiplantae; Streptophyta; Magnoliopsida; Malvales; Malvaceae
Description: long non-coding RNA (GRAI_LNC009787)
Source: RNAcentral
AGGGUACUCCGGAAACUCAGCUGCCCGUGCCGCAUCGGGGUCUAUCCGAGACAUGUGUGCCCCAGGAUUAUUGUGUAUCACAAUACGAUGAAUCUGGUUUCCGAUUGAAGACGCAUUAACAUUUCCAUCCUCAUUCACCCCUUCGUCGUCAAUAUCAUCCGGGACCUCGUCUGCGUCGGGAUCACUCUCACUAUCCACUUCGUAAUCAAC